CCUACGGGGGGCAGCAGUGAGGAAUAUUGGUCAAUGGACGAGAGUCUGAACCAGCCAAGUAGCGUGAAGGAUGACUGCCCUAUGGGUUGUAAACUUCUUUUAUAUGGGAAUAAAAUGUUCCACGUGUGGGAUUUUGUAUGUACCAUAUGAAUAAGGAUCGGCUAACUCCGUGCCAGCAGCCGCGGUAAUACGGAGGAUCCGAGCGUUAUCCGGAUUUAUUGGGUUUAAAGGGAGCGUAGGUGGAUUGUUAAGUCAGUUGUGAAAGUUUGCGGCUCAACCGUAAAAUUGCAGUUGAAACUGGCAGUCUUGAGUACAGUAGAGGUGGGCGGAAUUCGUGGUGUAGCGGUGAAAUGCUUAGAUAUCACGAAGAACUCCGAUUGCGAAGGCAGUUCACUGGACUGCAACUGACACUGAGGCUCGAAAGUGUGGGUAUCAAACAGGAUUAGAUACCCUAGUAUUC
RNAcentral lists this ribosomal RNA (460 nucleotides) under uncultured bacterium. Its description in RNAcentral is "partial 16S ribosomal RNA". It matches the Rfam family "Bacterial small subunit ribosomal RNA", at positions 338 to 795 of the family's 1533-position model. The record is from RNAcentral.